Molecule: long non-coding RNA, 615 nt
Organism: Rhinolophus ferrumequinum (greater horseshoe bat)
Lineage: Eukaryota; Metazoa; Chordata; Mammalia; Chiroptera; Rhinolophidae
Exons: 3
Source: RefSeq, a predicted model, not a curated record
UGGUCUUAGAGGGUUUUCCUGCUCCCUGCGCUGGCUCUGUUUUCGGCGAGUUCUUUUUCUCUCCGGAUUUUGGUCUCUGCCUUUCAUGUUUUGAGCUUGUCUCACGUGUCCGGUGAUCCUUGGCUACGAGUUCACGUUGAAGAACAGGAGACUGAAAACAGAUCAUCAGAAUGUCCAUGCCUAUGGGCACUUGGACAGGAUGCGUGGCUCUAUUUCACUCACUUGCUCUUCGUUCCACCCAGACCUGACACCUGACCCUUGCUGCUCUUCAACUCGGACAAGCAUAAGAAAAAGAGGACACUUGAGUGUGGUGCCAAGGAUUUAAAUGAGCUGCGUGGGAGUCCAAGGCCUGGGGCAGAAGGAGUGUUCCAGGUGAGAGAGCCAUGAAGAGGAUCCGGGGAGCUACUUUAGUCUCGUGUGGGAGAGGUCAACCACAUGGACUGCGCUUAGAUCUCCAGUAUAGCUGUGAGGUCUUGGGCAAAUAAAUCACUACACUUCUCUGAGACUUAAUUUCUUCACCUGUAAAAAAAAGGAGAAGUAUGCCUACUUCCAGGGCAGUUUUAGGAGAGAAUGUAGGUCACUUUGCACAUGCUGUUCCCUCUGGCUGAGAUGCUG